RNAcentral lists this long non-coding RNA (1015 nucleotides) under Oncorhynchus mykiss (rainbow trout). Its description in RNAcentral is "lncRNA (ENSOMYG00000056238.1)". Lineage: Eukaryota; Metazoa; Chordata; Actinopteri; Salmoniformes; Salmonidae. The record is from RNAcentral.
AUAUCUACAUAGAGGAGGGGAGGGGGGUUAAGGAUGUUCUAUCUACAUACAGUAGGGGCAUAAGGAUGUUCUAUCUACAUACAGUAGGGGCAUAAGGAUGUUCUAUCUACAUAGAGGAGGGGCAUAAGGAUGUUCUAUCUACAUAGAGGAGGGGAGGGGCAUAAGGAUGUUCUAUCUACAUAGAGGGGAGGGGGAUAAGGAUGUUCUAUCUACAUAGAGGGGAGGGGGAUAAGGAUGUUCUAUCUACAUAGAGGGGAGGGGGAUAAGGAUGUUCUAUCUACAUAGUGGGGAGGGGGAUAUGGAUGUUCUAUCUACAUAGAGGAGGGGAGGGGCAUAAGGAUGUUCUAUCUACAUAGAGGAGGGGAGGGGCAUAAGGAUGUUCUAUCUACAUAGAGGGGAGGGUGAUUAAUUAUGUAAUAUCUACAUAGAGGGGAGGGGGAUUAAUGAUGUAAUAUCUACAUAGAGGGGAGGAGGAUAAUGAUGUAAUAUCUACAUAGGGGGGAGGGGGGAUAGUGUUGUAAUAUCUACAUAGAGGGGGGGGCAUAAGGAUGUUCUAUCUACAUAGAGGGAGGGGGAUAAGGAUGUUCUAUCUACAUAGAGGAGGGGAAGGGGAUAAUUAUGUAAUAUCUACAUAGAACAUCCGUAUCCCCCUCGCCUCUAUCUACAUGGAGGAGGGGAGGGGUGAUAAGAACGUUUUAUCUACAUGGGGGAGGGGCAUAUGGAUGUUCUAUCUACAUAGUGGAGGGGAGAUAAGGAUGUUCUAUCUACAUAUAGGAGUUGAUAAGGAUGUUCUAUCUACAUGGGGGAGGGGAAUAAGGAUGUUCUAUCUACAUAGUGGAGGGGAGAUAAGGAUGUUCUAUCUACAUGGAGGAGGGGAGGGGGGAUAAGGAUGUUAUAUCUACAUAGAGGAGGGGGGAUAAGGAUGUUCUGUCUACAUGGGGAAGGGGAUAAUGAUGUUCUGUCUACAUGGGGAAGGGGAUAAGAAUGUUCUAUCUACAUGGAGGAGAGGAGGGGA